Molecule: ribosomal RNA, 348 nt
Filed under: uncultured bacterium
Lineage: Bacteria
Description: bacterial SSU rRNA
Rfam family: Bacterial small subunit ribosomal RNA
Source: RNAcentral
AGAGUUUGAUCAUGGCUCAGAGUGAACGUUGGCGGCGUGCCUAACACAUGCAAGUCGAACGAUACCUGAGUAGCUUGCUAUUCGGGAAGAGUGGCGAACGGGUGAGUAAUACGUGGGUAAUCUCCCCUCGAGUGAGGAAUAAUCUCGCGAAAGCGUGACUAAUACCGCAUAAUACUCUGGAGCACAAGCUUUCAGAGUCAAAGCCUUCGGGCGCUUGAGGAUGAGCCUUCGGCCUAUUAGCUAGUUGGUAGGGUAAUGGCCUACCAAGGUUAUGAUGGGUAGCCGGCCUGAGAGGGUGUACGGCCACACUGGGACUGAGACACGGCCCAGACUCCUACGGGAGGCAGC